UACAUUUUUGAGUAGUGAAUAGUUUGUAUAUAGCAAUGAAGUGAGCGUAAAUUGAGUAAUUUAUUUUUCGUUUUCUGUUUGGGGUUGUCCCACCUGCCGUUACCUAACCUAAGAUAAAUGGUUGCUUUUGCUGCGUGUUGUCUUUUCMUCAACCCUUAAGAAAACCAUAGAUAAAGACGAGGACGAAGAAAACAUGCCUGUAACCGAGCAAAUUCAUAAAGAACUGUCGUGCGAAGAAAAGGAUGCAGCUGCAUUUUUAAGAGAAAGGUUUUUGUUUCUUGUUGCAUCUUUGCCGGUUAAACCGAGUAAUAUCACUAUGCAUAACAAUACGGAAGUAUCAGCACAAAUAAGGGCAUUCGAUUUGCCAUUCGAGAAUGUGUUUGUAGAAAACCUACAACCUUCCAAUUCUCCUGCAGUGAUUCCAAAAGGCAUCCUUCGAACCAGUGAUAUAUUGACUAUUUCUUAUAAAGACAUGUAAGGAAUUGAAGUGUUUUUAAAAA
Dendroctonus ponderosae (mountain pine beetle) is the source of this 500-nucleotide long non-coding RNA. RefSeq lists it as uncharacterized. The record is from RefSeq and is a predicted model, not a curated record. Lineage: Eukaryota; Metazoa; Arthropoda; Insecta; Coleoptera; Curculionidae. The transcript has 2 exons.